RNAcentral lists this unclassified non-coding RNA (376 nucleotides) under Hevea brasiliensis (rubber tree). The record is from RNAcentral. Lineage: Eukaryota; Viridiplantae; Streptophyta; Magnoliopsida; Malpighiales; Euphorbiaceae.
GCCUGAUUUAGUAGGUCCACGAAAGAAAGUAUACGUGCCGUUGGCCUCUUUUGAAGUUGUCAGUUAUAAUUAUCGUAUAAAAAUAUUGCAAAAUUGCAUUACAACAGUUUUGGGAUUUCUAUAUAGUGCAUCAGUGUUCUUUCAGAGGCUCAUAUUUAUGAUAAAAGUUGUCAUCAUUCAGGCUUUGUUUGAGUUGUGAUGGCAAAUUGGUGGUACAGUACUUCACUUCUCAUGAGGGCGUUCAUAUAUUGCUAGACAUUUUCCAGUCUCCUUUUUCUGUAGCUAUAUUAUUUCUGUUACAGAUACUCAGUACUGGUUCAACUCUUUCUAAUCAUCUCUCUCUUGAAAUGCAUAGCCUGGUCCGGAUUCCAUUGGA